ACUCACGGGAGGCAGCAGUAGGGAAUCUUCGGCAAUGGACGAAAGUCUGACCGAGCAACGCCGCGUGAGUGAAGAAGGUUUUCGGAUCGUAAAACUCUGUCGGUAGAGAAGAACGUUGGUGAGAGUGGAAAGCUCAUCAAGUGACGGUAACUACCCAGAAAGGGACGGCUAACUACGUGCCAGCAGCCGCGGUAAU
Molecule: ribosomal RNA, 196 nt
Filed under: uncultured bacterium
Lineage: Bacteria
Description: partial 16S ribosomal RNA
Rfam family: Bacterial small subunit ribosomal RNA
Source: RNAcentral